UUUUAUGGAGAGUUUGAUCCUGGCUCAGGAUGAACGCUGGCGGCGUGCCUAAUACAUGCAAGUCGAGCGAACGGACGAGAAGCUUGCUUCUCUGAUGUUAGCGGCGGACGGGUGAGUAACACGUGGAUAACCUACCUAUAAGACUGGGAUAACUUCGGGAAACCGGAGCUAAUACCGGAUAAUAUUUUGAACCGCAUGGUUCAAAAGUGAAAGACGGUCUUGCUGUCACUUAUAGAUGGAUCCGCGCUGCAUUAGCUAGUUG
Molecule: ribosomal RNA, 262 nt
Filed under: Staphylococcus aureus
Lineage: Bacteria; Bacillati; Bacillota; Bacilli; Caryophanales; Staphylococcaceae
Description: partial 16S ribosomal RNA
Rfam family: Bacterial small subunit ribosomal RNA
Source: RNAcentral